AUUGAACGCUGGCGGAAUGCUUUACACAUGCAAGUCGAACGGUAGAGGGGGCAACCCCUCGAGAGUGGCGAACGGGUGAGUAAUAUAUCGGAACGUGCCCAGUCGUGGGGGAUAACGUAGCGAAAGUUACGCUAAUACCGCAUACGAUCUAAGGAUGAAAGCGGGGGAUCGCAAGACCUCGCGCGAUUGGAGCGGCCGAUAUCAGAUUAGGUAGUUGGUGGGGUAAAGGCUCACCAAGCCAACGAUCUGUAGCUGGUCUGAGAGGACGACCAGCCACACUGGAACUGAGACACGGUCCAGACUCCUACGGGAGGCAGCAGUGGGGAAUUUUGGACAAUGGACGCAAGUCUGGUCCAGCCAUUCCCCGUGCAGGAUGAAGGCCCUCGGGUUGUAAACUGCUUUUGUACGGAACGAAAAGGUCUCUCUUAAUACGGGGGGCUCAUGACGGUACCGUAAGAAUAAGCACCGGCUAACUACGUGCCAGCAGCCGCAGUAA
RNAcentral lists this ribosomal RNA (496 nucleotides) under uncultured bacterium. RNAcentral describes it as "partial 16S ribosomal RNA". It matches the Rfam family "Bacterial small subunit ribosomal RNA", at positions 30 to 523 of the family's 1533-position model. The record is from RNAcentral.